AUGGUUGCACUCCAGAAGCUAACAGUUCAGUACAGCGAGAAGCAGCUCCCAUCGUACCUGCAAACUGUAAAGCCAAGCCAUUUGCUGCUGGAUUGCUGCUCGGUGAUACUCCUUUCCAUGGCUUUGGGAGAGUCUUGUUCCGAGUGGGACAAGUUCAGCCAUAUCCAGCAAGUUGAGGCUUAUGCAGAUGAUGGAGGCAUUGAAAAGAGAUGGCACCUAUUCUACACAAGGGAGCCCUACAACAUGGGGACCAACAUUGAUCUGCAGGAGUGGUCAGACGAUGUUAACUUUAUCCAAUCAGAGGGUGAAGAUGGACUGCCUCGGUUAGCUGCCCUGAUGAAAUCUGCGGAUGAAGAUGAGGAGGAUGCAGACAACACAGAAGAAAUAGAGGAGGAAAGCAUGGGCCAAGGAAGGGAGGAGUAG
This 423-nucleotide ribosomal RNA is filed under the name Triticum aestivum (bread wheat). RNAcentral's name for it is "partial small subunit ribosomal RNA". Lineage: Eukaryota; Viridiplantae; Streptophyta; Magnoliopsida; Poales; Poaceae. The record is from RNAcentral.